This 253-nucleotide ribosomal RNA is filed under the name uncultured bacterium. RNAcentral's name for it is "partial 16S ribosomal RNA". It matches the Rfam family "Bacterial small subunit ribosomal RNA", at positions 524 to 776 of the family's 1533-position model. The record is from RNAcentral.
GACGGAGGGAGCAAGCGUUGUUCGGAAUUACUGGGCGUAAAGGGCGCGUAGGUUGUUAGAUAAGUCAGAAGUGAAAUCCCAGAGCUUAACUCUGGAACUGCUUUUGAAACUAUCUUUCUUGAGUUUGGUAGGGGGUGACGGAAUUCCUAGUGUAGCGGUGAAAUGCUUAGAUAUUAGGAGGAACACCGAUGGCGAAAGCGGUCACCUGGGCCACAACUGACACUGAGGCGCGAAAGCAUGGGUAGCAAACAGG